Molecule: ribosomal RNA, 256 nt
Filed under: uncultured bacterium
Lineage: Bacteria
Description: partial 16S ribosomal RNA
Rfam family: Bacterial small subunit ribosomal RNA
Source: RNAcentral
UAAUACGUAGGGAGCAAGCGUUGUCCGGAAUUACUGGGCGUAAAGGGUGCGUAGGCGGCUUAAUAAGUCAGAUGUGAAAGGCUGGGGCUCAACCCCAGAGCUGCAUUUGAAACUAUUAGGCUUGAGUGCAGGAGAGGCAAGUGGAAUUCCUAGUGUAGCGGUGAAAUGCGUAGAUAUUAGGAGGAACACCAGUGGCGAAGGCGACUUGCUGGACUGUAACUGACGCUGAGGCACGAAAGCGUGGGGAGCAAACAGG